Molecule: long non-coding RNA, 885 nt
Organism: Medicago truncatula (barrel medic)
Lineage: Eukaryota; Viridiplantae; Streptophyta; Magnoliopsida; Fabales; Fabaceae
Exons: 2
Source: RefSeq, a predicted model, not a curated record
AACACAGAGGAAGAGUUUGGUCUUCAGGUGCUUCUUUUAUGGGCUUUCCAGCUAAUUCCUUCGUCAACUGCAUAUGGAAAUAGAACGGAAUAGCAAUGUUAAGCAAUGAGUCAAUAUUUUCUCGUAUUAGCAAAGAUAUUGUGAAAAUUGCUUUCAACUGACCCAAGAAAUUAGUGCUUGAUAAGCAUUAGAGUUGAAGUAAGUAUAAGAACUCCCAGCAUCAAAAACAGCAAGAAGAUUUCCAAAACCAGUCCUCUUUCCUCCAAGAACAAGUUCAGCAGCCCCAGCUGAGUAAUGUUUGCUGAGAAAAAUCUUAAAUUAGUUUAUAGAAAUAUGAAUAUCAUUACGAUUAAUGUGGAUUUGACUUGUUAAGAUCUACUUACUAAUCUCUCGACGACAUUGGAGUCCAAGCCAAUCGAGAAGAAUCAUAAACAUCUCCAAAGAAGAUGUAUCCUCCUCCUUGUGCACUCAAACAGUGUCCAACGACAUUUCUCACCAAACCCUGACCAUUCAGUUGUGAUAUCAAGCUGGAUUUGCCCCUGCCAAGGCCAAGCAUUCCAUCUACGGGGUGGUAGGAAGAAUCUGGAAAAAUCUGAUCAUAUCCGCAUCUGCAUAGAAUAACCAAAAAAGUUGUAUUAUAUAACAUGAUUUUUACUUCUGAAUAAAGGAGUAUGUGUAUGGAUAAUCAUCAUGCAACGAUGGUAUUUUUUUUGAAACACUUGUUGCAGAAAGGCUAAAUUUAGCGAGAACAUACACAUAAGCAUGUUUGAGGUUGUUUAACUUAUGACAUGUACAUAAGCUAUUUUCACCUUAUUUCCAUUAGCUCUCCAAGAUAUCUUACGAAACAAAUUUUAGAUUGUAUGAAAACAAUUUGACUUUAUUUUA